RNAcentral lists this microRNA (22 nucleotides) under Anolis carolinensis (green anole). RNAcentral describes it as "aca-miR-5430". Lineage: Eukaryota; Metazoa; Chordata; Lepidosauria; Squamata; Anolidae. The record is from miRBase by way of RNAcentral.
UUCAAGAUGCUCAUUUGUUUCC